Molecule: unclassified non-coding RNA, 231 nt
Filed under: fungal sp.
Lineage: Eukaryota; Fungi
Description: partial internal transcribed spacer region
Rfam family: Eukaryotic small subunit ribosomal RNA (bases 1-46)
Source: RNAcentral
AAGUCGUAACAAGGUUUCCGUAGGUGAACCUGCGGAAGGAUCAUUACAGAGGUUUAUCCUUUUCUGUGAACUUAUUAUCUGGCAUUGAAGCUUAGCACGAGCUGAUUUGAUCUCAAUCUCUGAUUGACGCCAAUCAGCAAAGAUGGCGACCACUUCAAUGCCAAACUUUACACCAUAUAUUGUCUGAAGAAAAGAAAUGAAAAACUUUCAACAAUGGAUCUCUUGGCUCUG